UGGUCCCCCUCUCGCUUGUCUUAGGUGCGUGCUCAGUGAUGUGGCCGCUGCUUUGUUUCACGGCUGGUCAAUGCCCGCCCUUGCGACGGUUGGGCACACCUCAGCGCGGAAUCUCAGGGCUCGAUGCCCUCUCUGCGGGGAAGCCCAGCAAUCUCCUAUCCCCUUGCCAACGCCGCACCACAUCUGGCGGCGACACGGUCACGCACCCACGACGUGGGGUGGGGGUGGAGGUGAGAGCGAUGUGUUGCUGCUGAUGUCUGCGUUGGGAGACUGGAUGGCGCUGCGUCGGAGCGGGCUGCGGCAGCGAGCACGUCUGCGCCGCCCACAUGAUGGACGAGGUGUGAGCGUGGCUGGAGGAUAUCCCACCCGGCCCUGGCACUGCCUCCUGGUGUGGGGAGCCUGCGCCACGGCGAGGGGGAUGCACCAGGAGGGGUGGCGGCCGGCGGAGCGGGUGGUUUGCAGAGCUGGAGUCAGCGGCCGUGCUUGUGUGCCUGGGUGGGUGCAGCGCUGUGACGCGUGUGCCCACCGCUGCCUAACGCCACGUGACGUAUAUGUGAGAAGGCUGACGGUCGAAUGCAGUGCAGCUGAUACGCAAUGACGGAGAAUGGACACGCUGAAGGAAAAUAGGGCGAAUGCGCGGGUGCAUCACCGCUCUUCGUUGCGGGUGUCUGUGUAUGACUGUAAUGGCAUCUGCAAAGUCAAGGGUGCCCGCCGAUCGCUGAAAUGGAUCCCUGUUCCUAUAUCCAGUAGCAGCAUACGACAUGCUCUAGCGGGUGCCGCGCAUUCUAUAGCGUCCACAAGGCUAACUCUUGUAUUCACAUUCCUAUAUGUGGUGACUUUUUGGCGAGAGGCUGGCCUGAUGUCUCGAGUACUGGUCAUCUGUCUUUCCUUUCCGAGAGCAUCGGCGGAAAAAGGGAGGUGGAUGAAAAGAGCGGGGCACACGCAUGGCUCAGUAUAAAAGGGGGGGGGGCUAUCGUUCGGGAUUUACUUCGGUGGCGCCGGCGCAUACUUCGCCGGCGCUCCCUGAAGCCACCGCUGCCCUUCGUGAGGGGAGUCGUUGUUACGAAACACGGAUCACCUCAUCGUAAUCCUGCAACAGAUUUUGCUCCUCCGACAGCCGUUCUUUGACCUCCCUCCGGCCCUCGCACAGCGGGGUAAGGGUGCCGCUCGCAAGUGGCAACGCCACGUCCUUCACAUGCGAGCAGGCGAGAGAUGAGCCCGGCGCGGAGUUGCACUCCUCAAAGUUACGCGAGUUGUGUGUCAGCAGGAUUCAGUGAGCCGGGGCGGUGUAGAAGAACACAACUUCGAUGCUCCGCUCGUAAAGCCAAACGGCGCGUGUACGCGCCCAGCGUGUUCAGCGCCGGGCCCACACCCACUGCUGCUCAAACCCAUUCAACUGCUUUCUGCGCAUGCAGGAUGAGGAGGGGUGGUGAUGGUCCGUCACCAAGGCGACCUUUGCCCGAACUGGGGUAGGGGAGGGGGCGAGGGUGUUCUAUCGUGAAGCUGAUGAUCCGUGUUGGCAAUGCUGGAGGCGAGCGGCCGCUGCCGGUUUAUGUGCUAUUCGUACAGACAGGUGAUGUACAAAGCAGCGGGCAGUCAUGUACAGGCCAGAAUCCUCGCUGGGCCACUGCUGUCGCGCGCAUGCGCUGUGAGAGACUGAUAAGCCCGGCCCCACCGUGCGGAGCUUGCAACGUGGCGCCUACGAUACGCUGACUGAGGGUGCAUAAUCGCACGCGGUCAAGACAGCGGGCAUGCUGUCCGACGCCUUCUCCAAGAUUCCCGCGAUCCGAUGCGACCGCAGAGCUUGUGGAAGGUACAGCGCGCCCACGACCUGCUGGCCUACUGGCGGAGAGCACGAGCCCGUUAGCGCCGCCGAACACGGCAUAUUGCAUCGCAGCGAAGCGUCGCAUGGUGCGGGAGGCAGCGACGAGAGAGAGUGCCGAAUUCCAGGUGGGAGGUCUUGCCUGCAUGUAGAUCACCGCCCCCUCCAAACUGCGGCGCGAGAGGUACAGUACCUCCACCGGUAGCGUGCCGUUCUGCUAGCGGUUCCGUGCGCCCGCGCCUUGUUGGCGAUGGUGCCGCCCCUCAGGGAAAAGCUCCUCGAGCAGGCCGCCUCCACACGAGUCCUCAGGCGUCGCCCCCCCCCCCAAACACCCGCACACCACACACCACACAUCACCACCACCUCAUCGGGGUACGCCAUUUCGAUGUGCUUCACGCCAAUGUGAGGGGGGUGGGGGCGGCUAUGCACGCUCAAGAGAAGGGAGGAUAGCAAGCCAAAACACGAGAGCACGAGACAUCAGUACACGCCGACACACCCCAGCGAGACAGCGCAGGGAAGAGUAUCGAGGAGACUUCAGGGGCACUCAUCAAAGAACCAGGCCCCCAAAAUUUGAUCAAGACUUUGUAGUUCACGAGGCCGGCAAGCCUUUUACCCGCCUCUCGGCCUACCCUGCAUCCCUGGGCCUUGCGACUUCUUCGCUCAGUGGAGGACCCACGGGCAGGCACAGACAGGCAAGCUGUGCAUCGCUCUUUUCUCGUUGAUUAUUCGCCCUUACCACUGACUACACGCUGGAAAAG
Molecule: unclassified non-coding RNA, 2580 nt
Filed under: Leishmania donovani
Lineage: Eukaryota; Euglenozoa; Kinetoplastea; Trypanosomatida; Trypanosomatidae
Description: gene:unknown
Source: RNAcentral